AGUGAACGCUGGCGGCAGGCCUAACACAUGCAAGUCGAACGGCAGCACAAGAGAGCUUGCUCUCUGGGUGGCGAGUGGCGGACGGGUGAGGAAUGCAUCGGAAUCUGCCCAUUUGUGGGGGAUAACCUCGGGAAACCGGGACUAAUACCGCAUACGACCUACGGGUGAAAGCAGGGGAUCUUCGGACCUUGCGCAGAUGGAUGAGCCGAUGCCGGAUUAGCUAGUUGGAGGGGUAAAGGCCCACCAAGGCGACGAUCCGUAGCUGGUCUGAGAGGAUGAUCAGCCACACUGGGACUGAGACACGGCCCAGACUCCUACGGGAGGCAGCAGUGGGGAAUAUUGGACAAUGGGCGCAAGCCUGAUCCAGCCAUGCCGCGUGUGUGAAGAAGGCCUUCGGGUUGUAAAGCACUUUUGUCGGGAAAGAAAAGCAGCCGGUUAAUACCCGGUUGUCAUGACGGUACCCAAAGAAUAAGCACCGGCUAACUUCGUG
RNAcentral lists this ribosomal RNA (490 nucleotides) under uncultured bacterium. Its description in RNAcentral is "partial 16S ribosomal RNA". It matches the Rfam family "Bacterial small subunit ribosomal RNA", at positions 29 to 507 of the family's 1533-position model. The record is from RNAcentral.